GUGAGGAAUAUUGCUCAAUGGGCGAAAGCCUGAAGCAGCGACGCCGCGUGAGGGAUGAAAUCCGUUAGGAUGUAAACCUCUUUUGCGAGGGAAGAAUAUCCCCCUAUGGGGGAGGUGACUGUACCUCGUGAAUAAGCACCGGCCAACUACGUGCCAGCAGCCGCGGUAAUACGUAGGGUGCAAGCGUUGUCCGGAAUUACUGGGUGUAAAGGGUCCGCAGGCGGGCAAGCAAGUCGGUGGUGAAAGUUCACGGCUCAACCGUGAAAUUGCCUUCGAUACUGCUUGUCUUGAGUUCGAGAGAGGAUAAUGGAAUUCAUGGUGUAGCGGUGAAAUGUGUAGAGAUCAUGAAGAACACCGGUAGCGAAGGCGGUUAUCUGGCUCGAAACUGACGCUCAGGGACGAAAGCGUGGGUAGCAAACAGGAUUAGAUACCCGGGUAGUCC
RNAcentral lists this ribosomal RNA (442 nucleotides) under uncultured bacterium. RNAcentral describes it as "bacterial SSU rRNA". It matches the Rfam family "Bacterial small subunit ribosomal RNA", at positions 354 to 796 of the family's 1533-position model. The record is from RNAcentral.